UUGUACUGAUUGAGAUUUUAACACGAAGUGAGUGGCGAACGGGUGAGUAACACGUGGUAACCUGCCCAGAGUAGGGAUAACACCUGGAAACAGAUGCUAAUACCGUAUAACAGAGAAACCGCAUGGUUUCUUUUAAAGAUGGCUCUGCUAUUACUUCUUGGAUGGACCCGCGGCGUAUUAGCUAGUUGUGAGGUAAAGGCUCACCAAGGCAGUGAUACGUAGCCGACCUGAGAGGGUAAUCGGCCACAUUGGGACUGAGACACGGCCCAGACUCC
Molecule: ribosomal RNA, 275 nt
Filed under: uncultured Pediococcus sp.
Lineage: Bacteria; Bacillati; Bacillota; Bacilli; Lactobacillales; Lactobacillaceae
Description: partial 16S ribosomal RNA
Rfam family: Bacterial small subunit ribosomal RNA
Source: RNAcentral